RNAcentral lists this ribosomal RNA (576 nucleotides) under uncultured Gammaproteobacteria bacterium. RNAcentral's name for it is "bacterial SSU rRNA". It matches the Rfam family "Bacterial small subunit ribosomal RNA", at positions 8 to 575 of the family's 1533-position model. The record is from RNAcentral. Lineage: Bacteria; Pseudomonadati; Pseudomonadota; Gammaproteobacteria.
AGAGUUUGAUCCUGGCUCAGAGUGAACGCUGGCGGCAGGCCUAACACAUGCAAGUCGAACGGCAGCGGGUCGUAGCAAUACGAUGCCGGCGAGUGGCGGACGGGUGAGGAAUACAUCGGAAUCUACCUUGUCGUGGGGGAUAACGUAGGGAAACUUACGCUAAUACCGCAUACGAACCAUGGUUGAAAGCGGCGGACCGCAAGGCGUCGCGCGAUUGGAUGAGCCGAUGUCCGAUUAGCUAGUUGGCGGGGUAAAGGCCCACCAAGGCGACGAUCGGUAGCUGGUCUGAGAGGAUGAUCAGCCACACUGGAACUGAGACACGGUCCAGACUCCUACGGGAGGCAGCAGUGGGGAAUAUUGGACAAUGGGGGCAACCCUGAUCCAGCCAUGCCGCGUGUGUGAAGAAGGCCUUCGGGUUGUAAAGCACUUUUGUUGGGGAAGAAAAGCACUGGGCUAAUACCUUGGUGUCAUGACGGUACCCAAAGAAUAAGCACCGGCUAACUUCGUGCCAGCAGCCGCGGUAAUACGAAGGGUGCAAGCGUUACUCGGAAUUACUGGGCGUAAAGCGUGCGUAGG